GGAGGAGUGGCCGAGUGGUUUAAGGCGGCGGUCUUGAAAACCGUUGCGGGGCAACCCGCCGUGGGUUCGAAUCCCUCCUCCUCCG
Molecule: transfer RNA, 85 nt
Filed under: Myxococcales bacterium
Lineage: Bacteria; Pseudomonadati; Myxococcota; Myxococcia; Myxococcales
Description: tRNA-Ser
Rfam family: tRNA
About the family: Transfer RNA (tRNA) molecules are approximately 80 nucleotides in length. Their secondary structure includes four short double-helical elements and three loops (D, anti-codon, and T loops).
Source: RNAcentral